AGGAGCAACAGCCCUAGUGGCGGGGCCAGCUCUGGAGCCCUGGAGUCAGCCCCGCAGGAACUCCGGAGCUCUCUGUCUGCAGGGCUUGGAGGCUGGGGGAGGGG
This 104-nucleotide microRNA precursor is filed under the name Canis lupus familiaris (dog). RNAcentral describes it as "mir-8834 microRNA precursor family". It matches the Rfam family "mir-8834 microRNA precursor family". Lineage: Eukaryota; Metazoa; Chordata; Mammalia; Carnivora; Canidae. The record is from Rfam by way of RNAcentral. RNAcentral also lists the same sequence under 1 other name.